UACGAAGGGUGCAAGCGUUACUCGGAAUUACUGGGCGUAAAGGGUGCGUAGGUGGUUUUUUAAGUCCGUUGUGAAAUCCCUGGGCUCAACCUGGGAAUGGCAGUGGAUACUGGAAAGCUAGAGUGCGGUAGAGGGUAGUGGAAUUCCCGGUGUAGCAGUGAAAUUCGUAGAUAUUCGCAAGAACACCAGUGGCGAAGGCGGCUCACUGGCCCGAUACUGACGCUGAUGCACGAAAGCGUGGGGAGCAAACAGG
RNAcentral lists this ribosomal RNA (253 nucleotides) under uncultured bacterium. RNAcentral describes it as "partial 16S ribosomal RNA". It matches the Rfam family "Bacterial small subunit ribosomal RNA", at positions 524 to 776 of the family's 1533-position model. The record is from RNAcentral.